Balaenoptera ricei (Rice's whale) is the source of this 1041-nucleotide long non-coding RNA. RefSeq lists it as uncharacterized. Lineage: Eukaryota; Metazoa; Chordata; Mammalia; Artiodactyla; Balaenopteridae. The record is from RefSeq and is a predicted model, not a curated record. The transcript is spliced from 2 exons.
CCUGGCAUCAUCCCGACCCCAGCGAGUCUGGGCUGCGGCUGGCGGUAGGAAGCGGGCGAGGUGCCCGAACAGAAGGGAUGAUGAAGAAGGAAGCACUAGGGACAUAGGAGAAUGGCCCAGAAAAGUAGCGCGAGUCGUCGGGGGAAAUCGGAGGGAAGGGAUCGCGUCCUCACCAGACUCUAGGUCCUGGGACGUGGGGCCGAGGGCGCCAGGCGCUUUAGCCUUUUAAAGUUUCCUCCCAUCUCCCGCCCAGGUUUAAGCAAAGAAAGGGAAAAAAUUCAAUAUACAUUCAUGUAUACACAUACAUAUUCUUUACAGUUUCUUCUCUUUGGGAACCCAAUUUGAAGGAAUUUUGUUGAUUUUGUUGCCAUUUUUGAAAAAGCCCAGCAUCCGAAUGCAGCGCUGGCUUUAAAGAGAGACGGCUGCAGUCCUGGCCAUGUGCUAAAUCAUUUAUUCAUCCCCAGUGUUUCCUGGGAAGCUGGAGUGUUGCUGGCAAGAACGUGACCCGUUUUCAGUCCCGCACCAUCAAUGUGGUAACGUGAUCUGAUCAUGCUUAGGCAACAUUUAAAAAUACUCAAGUACUAAUUAAUAUACGAUUGCUUAACUUUGAAUUCAAGAAAAUGUGUUUAUCGUUAAUGAAGAACCCCCUCCUUCAUUCUGCCCUGGGGCUUUCUCCAAACCAGACUGCUUUUUUAAUGUUAGGUCUUUUUAUGGACCUGUAAGAAGCUUUAAUUAGAUAUACAGCACUCUACACAAACGACAAGAUGGAGCAUGCAGGCUUGGACUACAGUCUCUGUGAUUCAGAUCUCAGAAAUAACAUAAUGCCACCAAUUUAGGGAAGAAGUUGUUUAUUGGAAGGCAACCAGGGAGAUGCUACAAAUUAGAUCAAGAUGUGAAAAGCAAGCCGAUUCAGGAAAGAAUUGCCAUUUUCUUCUUGGGACUACCCCCCCAAAGCAGCACGUAUAACAAGGUUAUCUUCUCUAGAUAUUGUUAAUUCUCAUAAUUUAUAAAACAUUUAAAAUAAAUAUAUUGAAAACAACA